RNAcentral lists this ribosomal RNA (253 nucleotides) under uncultured bacterium. RNAcentral describes it as "partial 16S ribosomal RNA". It matches the Rfam family "Bacterial small subunit ribosomal RNA", at positions 524 to 776 of the family's 1533-position model. The record is from RNAcentral.
UACGUAGGUGGCAAGCGUUGUCCGGAAUUAUUGGGCGUAAAGCGCGCGCAGGUGGUUUCUUAAGUCUGAUGUGAAAGCCCACGGCUCAACCGUGGAGGGUCAUUGGAAACUGGGGAACUUGAGUGCAAGAGAGAAGAGUGGAAUUCCACGUGUAGCGGUGAAAUGCGUAGAGAUGUGGAGGAACACCAGUGGCGAAGGCGACUCUUUGGCCUGUAACUGACACUGAGGCGCGAAAGCGUGGGGAGCAAACAGG